AAAGGUCAAAGGACCUUGGAGACAAUUUUUCAGAAUUUUUAAAGACUUAAAAGUAUUUUAAACAAUUAAAAAUUAUCACAAAAUCAAUAAAAUCAUGAAAAAUAUUAAUAAUGAUCCAAAAAAUAAUUUUAAUUUAGAAUAUGAAAGAGGAAUUUUUUAAAAAUUUUUUGGUGAAACUCUCAUAUUUUUGGAUCAAUAUUAAAAUUAAUAUGAAUUAAUGAAAAUCAAAUGAAAUAAAA
This 239-nucleotide long non-coding RNA is filed under the name Lathyrus oleraceus (garden pea). Its description in RNAcentral is "Pisum sativum (pea) long non-coding RNA (PSAT_LNC022322)". Lineage: Eukaryota; Viridiplantae; Streptophyta; Magnoliopsida; Fabales; Fabaceae. The record is from RNAcentral.